ACCACUAUCGUGGUUAAACGGAGCCACUCCCACCAAAGCGGCAAUCUGUUUGGCAGUGCGUUGUCCCAAUUCGGGUAA
This 78-nucleotide ribosomal RNA is filed under the name Chamaesiphon polymorphus CCALA 037. Its description in RNAcentral is "partial 23S ribosomal RNA". The record is from RNAcentral. Lineage: Bacteria; Bacillati; Cyanobacteriota; Cyanophyceae; Gomontiellales; Chamaesiphonaceae.